CCCUUAGAUGUCCUGGGCCGCACGCGCGCUACACUGAUGCAUGCAACGAGUUUAUAACCUUGGCCUGAAAGGUCUGGGUAAUCUUUUGAACGUGCAUCGUGAUAGGGAUAGAUUAUUGCAAUUGUUAAUCUUGAACGAGGAAUUCCUAGUAAACGCGAGUCAUCAGCUCGCAUUGAUUACGUCCCUGCCCUUUGUACACACCGCCCGUCGCACCUACCGAUUGAAUGGUUCGGUGAAGAUCUCGGACUUCGAUAUUUAUUCUUUAUUGAGUUUAUAGUGUGGGAAGUUAUCUAAACCUCAUCAUUUAGAGGAAGGUGAAGUCGUAACA
RNAcentral lists this ribosomal RNA (328 nucleotides) under uncultured eukaryote. RNAcentral's name for it is "partial 18S ribosomal RNA". It matches the Rfam family "Eukaryotic small subunit ribosomal RNA", at positions 1470 to 1796 of the family's 1831-position model. The record is from RNAcentral.